UAGGGAAUCUUCCGCAAUGGACGAAAGUCUGACGGAGCAACGCCGCGUGAGUGAAGAAGGAUUUCGGUUCGUAAAACUCUGUUGUUAGGGAAGAAAAAAUGUAUAGUAACUAUAUACAAAAGAGACGGUACCUAACCAGAAAGCCACGGCUAACUACGUGCCAGCAGCCGCGGUAAUACGUAGGUGGCAAGCGUUGUCCGGAAUUAUUGGGCGUAAAGCGCGCGCAGGUGGUUUUGAAAGUCUGAUGUGAAAGCCCACGGCUCAACCGUGGAGGGUCAUUGGAAACUAAUAAACUUGAGUGCAGGAGAGAAAAGUGGAAUUCCUAGUGUAGCGGUGAAAUGCGUAGAGAUUAGGAGGAACACCGGUGGCGAAAGCGGCUUUUUGGCCUGCAACUGACACUGAGGCGCGAAAGCGUGGGGAGCAAACAGG
RNAcentral lists this ribosomal RNA (429 nucleotides) under Verrucomicrobiota bacterium. RNAcentral describes it as "Verrucomicrobia bacterium partial 16S ribosomal RNA". It matches the Rfam family "Bacterial small subunit ribosomal RNA", at positions 355 to 776 of the family's 1533-position model. Lineage: Bacteria; Pseudomonadati; Verrucomicrobiota. The record is from RNAcentral.